UCCCAUGUGGCUCAGUUGGUAGAGCGUUGUGCUUGUAACAAAGAUUGUGGGUUUGAUUCCUACAGGGGAC
Molecule: transfer RNA, 70 nt
Filed under: Salmo salar (Atlantic salmon)
Lineage: Eukaryota; Metazoa; Chordata; Actinopteri; Salmoniformes; Salmonidae
Also listed under: 1 other name
Rfam family: tRNA
About the family: Transfer RNA (tRNA) molecules are approximately 80 nucleotides in length. Their secondary structure includes four short double-helical elements and three loops (D, anti-codon, and T loops).
Source: Rfam by way of RNAcentral